This is a long non-coding RNA of Polyodon spathula (Mississippi paddlefish), 1235 nucleotides long. RefSeq lists it as uncharacterized. NCBI's taxonomy places the organism in Eukaryota, Metazoa, Chordata, Actinopteri, Acipenseriformes, Polyodontidae. The record is from RefSeq and is a predicted model, not a curated record. The transcript is spliced from 6 exons.
ACCCACAAACUUCGGAAGACAAACGACCCAACAGCCCAGUCAUUGGCAUCUUCUUUGUCCACAAGACAGUUACUGAGGAUCUGCCGACGUCUUUCACAGUACCCAGAGGAAAGCAUUUCUCAGGCUGUAAACAAAGCCUGCCUCUCCAGGUUUUUGCCUAGCCUUGCGAGACCUGCUUUGCAGAAGAACUUUCUGGAUACUGGAAUUGAGGACAGCUCUGUUGUGUCAAAUCAGGAAGAAAAGGAAAAGUUGAAGAAAAGGAAAAGAAAAGUUGUGAAAUAAAAGAUGGAACACUGAAGAUUGGAAAGGUCUCUGUUCCUGUCUAUAAUCCAGAUGAGAAGAUGAAAGUUCCUGACAUCCUGUUUUAUGAAAAUGCUCAGGGCGUUGGGAAGAACAAGAUAGUUGACAGAUUUCUGCAGCUCAUGAACAGGCCGAGGGAGUACCUGCAUCUUCACAGAGACACCACAGUGCAGACCCUCACUCUGCAGCCCUCUGUUCGGGAUGGUAUUAUCAUCUAUGAGGAUUCCCCACUGGCCAGUUUGAAUUGUUCCUAUUUACGUUGUAAAUCUAAUCAUGUUAAGCCUCCUCUGUUAAGCCCGGCUGAUUGGGACACCUUCUCGGGGAGGAAGGUCCAGUGACAGUAGCAAUCUAUCAGUACCUGCACUAGCACAGCUGUGUGUAUUGGUUUAACAUCAGGAUUAUAUUCAAUUGCAGGGAUGCUCCCCUAACCUGAGCAUUGUAGGACUAAAAUCUUGUUCUUCCUGAAAAGUGCUUUGACUAGCUGUCCCCAGGGCCCAACACCUCAUCAUUGUAUCUAUAACCCACUAUAUGCUGAAUUCAUGUUUUUCAGUUUAAUCUGAUAGCAGUAUGGAAGCACCACAGCAGAUGUUUGAUAGAUGUAUUUCUCUGUUGUCUAGUGGGGUUAGUCACAAUGCAUGUUCAGUGAGCCUGGGUAUUGGAAGCUUUUAUUAUUACUCUUUCUCACAGCCUACUCAUUUGAAAUGCUGGCUCCUUCCUUGACUCUUGAAUCAGUAGCCAGAUUAAACUGUUACGUUAUUAUUGAUGUGCUUAAAAGCUAUACAAGGAAAUCAGUAAGAUAUGAUUAAGUUAUCUUUAAAAAAACAUACAGCAGGAUCUGUUUGUUGCAACAGCCAGUUCAUUCAUCACAGAUACAGUAUACAGUAUGACAUUUUAUAUAAAUAUAUAUAUAAAAGACAGUGCCUGUAGGAAGUAUU